This 372-nucleotide ribosomal RNA is filed under the name uncultured organism. RNAcentral describes it as "partial 16S ribosomal RNA". It matches the Rfam family "Bacterial small subunit ribosomal RNA", at positions 527 to 896 of the family's 1533-position model. The record is from RNAcentral.
GAACUGUGCGAACGUUAUUCGGAAUCACUGGGCUUAAAGGGUGCGUAGGCGGCUAUAAAGGUCAGACGUGAAAUCCCACGGCUCAACCGUGGAACUGCGUUUGAAACCGUAUAGCUUGAGGAAGUCAGAGGUAAGCGGAACUGAUGGUGGAGCGGUGAAAUGCGUUGAUAUCAUCAGGAACACCGGUGGCGAAAGCGGCUUACUGGGACUUUUCUGACGCUGAGGCACGAAAGCCAGGGGAGCGAACGGGGAUUAGAUACCCCGGUAGUCCUGGCUGUAAACGAUCUGUACUAGUCUGUGGGGACUUCCACAUCCUCUCGGACGUAGCGAAAGUGUUAAGUACAGCGCCUGGGGAGUAUGGUCGCAAGGCUG